CUGCUCUUCCUCCGACAGCCACGCAGCGAGCUCACGAGGCAGCCUCCACACAUAAUGAAAGCAAACGCCACCAUAAAUCUCCCGCUCGGCGGAGGUCACUUCAGAAAAAUCGCCCGCUGCUCAGAUAAGCACCAGCUUUGCUGAGGAACAUGGAAGGGGGAAAACACCGACUGUGAUAAACACCAGCAGGUAGGCUCCAAAUGGAGGCCAACCCAGGCAACUCGGAGAGAAGGGAGCCGGGAUGAAGCAGGUGUGUGUGCGUGUGUGUGUUUACACACAACAGCCCUGGCCCAGUGUGUUCUGGCUGCGAGAACAAGCAACCGCACCACGAGAGGAGCUGCUCUCCCCCCCGGGAGGAGAGCUCCGGAGGCACCAAUUUUCAUUAAACCUAGGAGUACACACAGGGGCAGGAGGCCAAAACAGUCCUCGAAACUGAGGCUUUUAAAAACAUCUGUUGGCAGCGUUGAGAUCCUAGAAGAGAGAGAGAGACGGAGAGAGAGAGAGAGAGAGAGAGAGAGAGAGAGAGAGAGAGAGAGCUCAGAGUCCAGCACUUUCAUUUCCAGACUGUGAGUCAUAAAAGGAGUACGUAAAUCCCUAUCGCCAGAAUACGCUGACCCAAGUCUGGGUUUAUGAACACCUGAAGUACAUUUCAUGAGAAUUAGCUUUAAAUAUCAACCUGAUCACAAAGCUUGAAAGGUUUUCUCCCAUCUCAGGAUGACUGGAGUCCGCUGGAACCUGGAAUGGAGUUUUCUGACAGCAAAGGAUUACAGGAGCGUAACAGAAAUUAUGGAGAUUUCCCCGCUAGGCAUAAGGAUGCGAUCACUGUAGGCACCUGUGGGCCCAAGCAGGUUACCCACCAAUAUCCCUUUAAACACCAAAUUAUGGACUAUUAGGCCACUGCUUCAAGGCUUCUACAAAUGUGAAACCUUGACAAAUUCCCAAAUAAAAGCCAUAAAACCAAUCAUUUUUUAAACCUGUAUGAGUGACACCAGGAAAAUUACAGCAGUGUGGCAGGUCACUGUGAAAUAAAGCUGCCAGAAAGAAGCUUACGAUGCUGUCAUGGAAAAGGCAAUUAGAAGGUUACUUUCUCUCAGGUCUAAGAUUGGUUCUUGUUCUUCCUACAGCUCCCUGCCUUCCACCUCCCUGCUGCAAAAUGGAUCAAUCUAUAAUAAGUAGUAGUUAUAUAUCAUAAGGCAGCAAUUCCUUUUAGUUGUUCCACUAUAAAAAAGCAUCCAGAUUUAGAACUUGACAGGAACCAGUAUCGCCUGCCCCCCAGAGCCGGCAGAAAGUCUGUGUAUGUCAUUCAGCCAGCAUGGAGUCUGGGUGUUUUAAAAGCUUUAAUUUGAAGGGGAUAAAAAACCUGGGCGUUAAGCAAUUUGGCUGUGGAUAUUUAAUGCAUCAGCCACGCUAUAGAAUUGGAGUCCUCUAUUUAAAAUGAGAAAUUGAAAACUUACACGCUCUGUAGGCAAGGUGUAAGUAAAUGUAGGAUGGUAAGCAGAAAUCAGCUGAGAACCUGCAGAAACGCCAUUAGAAGGACUAAUGGCAUGGUUCAGAAGUGGCCUUAAACAAAUGCUAGGGUGUCGUUUGUAAGUGUGUAAAACAGGUCUGGCUUUUAAUUAGCAGGAGCCAUAUCUCCCUGUGUUUAGGAAAAGGCAUUACUUCUCAAAGAGAAUAUCCUAACGGGGUCUACAUAGGGACCAGGAGGAAACAAUGGCCCGGGAGUUGAGAUUUGCCUCAAGGCACGUUCCUCCUCAAUGGCAGCGUGGAGAUUGGAACUCAGUCUCCUUAUCUCUAAUUUCCACUCUAACACACUUAUUGUAGGUAGAAAAAAUGCAUCCCAAAGAUGUCUACUUCUUACUCCCCAGAACCUGUACAUACAGCACCUUACAUGGCAAAAGUGACUUUGCAGAUACGAUUGAGUUAAGGGUUUUGAGAUAGGGAGAUUACCAGGUGGCCCAACGGAAUCACAAGGGGCCUGAUAAGUAUGAGAGGGAGCAGAAGAGUGAGGGUCAGAGUCAGAGAGAGACUGGAAGAUGCUAUACCACUGGCUUUGAAGAUGAAGGAGGGGGACACAAGCCAAGGAAUGCAGGCAGCCUCUAAAUGCAGGAAAAGGUAAGGAAAUCGGUCUUACAGCCUCCAUAAAAAUGCCAUCCUGCCAAUGCCUUGAUUUCAGCCUCAUGAGACCCUUUCAGACUUCUGAUCUCUAGAACU
RNAcentral lists this long non-coding RNA (2211 nucleotides) under Homo sapiens (human). Its description in RNAcentral is "non-protein coding lnc-PGRMC2-2:4". Lineage: Eukaryota; Metazoa; Chordata; Mammalia; Primates; Hominidae. The record is from RNAcentral.